AAGAUUUUAAGUUAAAUAAACUAAUAGUCUUCAAAGCUGUCAAUGAAUAAAAAUAUUCAAAUCUUA
RNAcentral lists this transfer RNA (66 nucleotides) under Tettigonia chinensis. Its description in RNAcentral is "tRNA-Trp". Lineage: Eukaryota; Metazoa; Arthropoda; Insecta; Orthoptera; Tettigoniidae. The record is from RNAcentral.